Molecule: ribosomal RNA, 406 nt
Filed under: uncultured bacterium
Lineage: Bacteria
Description: partial 16S ribosomal RNA
Rfam family: Bacterial small subunit ribosomal RNA
Source: RNAcentral
AUUGAACGCUGGCGGCAGGCCUAACACAUGCAAGUCGAACGAGUGGCGGACGGGUGAGUAAUGUCUGGGAAACUGCCCGAUGGAGGGGGAUAACUACUGGAAACGGUAGCUAAUACCGCAUACCAUCGGAUGUGCCCAGAUGGGAUUAGCUAGUAGGUGGGGUAACGGCUCACUUAGGCGACGAUCCCUUGCUGGUCUGAGAGGAUGACAAGCCACACUUGAACUGAGACACGGUCCAGACUCCUACGGGAGGCAGCAGUGGGGAAUAGUGCACAAUGGGCGCAAGCCUGAUGCAGCCAUGCCGCGUGUAUGAAGAAGGCCGUCGGGUUGUAAGGUACUUUCAGCGAGGAGGCGGGACUCGCAGAGGAAGCACCGGCUAACUCCGUGCCAGCAGCCGCGGUAAUAC